UGUUGAUUGGUUCGCUGCGCCACCGCACUCUGGGCAGCCGCUUGUAGCUGACCGCUUGUGGCCGUUAUCGGUGCUCCGUGCCGUUUGUGUUGUGCUCGCGCUCCAGUGAACCCCCUGUCCGCGUCAGCAUGGGCGUCGAAGUGCAGACCAUCUCUCCCGGCGACGGUCAGACAUUCCCAAAAACUGGUCAGACAGUUGUGGUCCAUUACACAGGUACCUUGGCAGAUGGCUCAAAGUUUGACUCCUCACGGGAUAGGGGCAAGCCAUUCAAGUUUCGCAUCGGCAAAGGGGAAGUUAUUCGCGGCUGGGACGAGGGUGUCGCUCAGAUGAGUGUCGGCCAGCGAGCCAAGCUGAUCUGCUCGCCAGACUAUGCCUAUGGAGCCAUGGGUCACCCUGGCAUAUAUCCUUGGAAGGUCGUCAUAGACUGACUUCAAACAUAGUAACAGAGGAGGGGGAUGGCAUUCAGCUGCUGAGAACAAGAAAGCAUCCACUACAGAUGCGUGUGCUGUUGCCUCCUUGACUACACUGCACAAUCCCGCCCAACGCUGUGCUCACCUUCGACGUGGAACUGCUGCGGCUCGAGUAAAAGGCACGGUUGCUCCACACCCCCCCAGCUCUCCGAGCAAGCAGCGGCGCCAUGCCUGGCUCCUGACUUCGCUCACCUUUCCCCCAAUCCCCACCACCAAGCGUUUCUGUUUGUUUGUUUCAUUUGUUUUGUCUCCUCCUUGCCCCCAGCAAAGUCUCUCGGACAACGGCUUGACCUUCCUCUUGUGGGCAGUUGAAGGGCAGCCUUGUUUGCACCCUGCGUCAGGCCUCCUCCGAGCAGCGGACAACACACUUUUCUCUAUUGAACAGCAUCCGGGAGAGGGAAUUUUUUCGAGAAUUGAGAUUCACGCCCCAUCCGCUUUGAACAUGUGUUUUCUUUUUUGCCGGGCGGAUAAUGCUCAUCGUGCCCAAUGAACUAGCCCAAAUUGUGCGGGAAACCUUCCAUUUCUUCCCGCGUGCUCUCCAGCCGACGAGUUGCCGCUAGUGACCCAGGCCACCUCGUGAACAAAAAGGAGUUUCAGCAGAAUCUGAUGACACGUUGCAAGAACCGCCGUGGAUACGUUUGUGGCAGUGUUGGGAAUCCCAGGGUGGUCUGCCGUCAGGAGACGUCCACCAAUCGCCGAGGAGAGUCCUGACAGUGUGCGCGCAGCGGAAGCAGCAGUGAGCACGUGUCCUCUUCUUGCCUCGGCAUUUGAGAUCCCGUGCUUUGGUGGUGUUUCAGGGCAGCCGACCACUCUGCUCGAAGGAGCCUUUGACAUUGGACUUGCCAAGAAAGCUGCUGUGUUUCUCCGUGUACGCUCUCUGGUUGUUGGGGACGUGGUGCUGGCGCGGUGCCUCGAUGAUGCCGCAUUGCCGCACUGCACCCUGGAACUAUGCACCCCUCCCGUGCCCUGUACCUGUGUGUGAGAAAUAGAGAUGUUCCAAAUGCA
This is an RNA transcript of Dermacentor silvarum, 1475 nucleotides long. It is a transcript of the gene named peptidyl-prolyl cis-trans isomerase Fkbp12, with no coding region annotated. NCBI's taxonomy places the organism in Eukaryota, Metazoa, Arthropoda, Arachnida, Ixodida, Ixodidae. The transcript is spliced from 5 exons. The record is from RefSeq and is a predicted model, not a curated record.